UACCCCGUGGUGUAACGGUAACACAAGUGGUUUUGGUCCAUUCAUUCCAGGUUCGAAUCCUGGCGGGGUAA
This 71-nucleotide transfer RNA is filed under the name Planctomycetota bacterium. RNAcentral's name for it is "Planctomycetes bacterium (bioreactor metagenome) tRNA-Gln". It matches the Rfam family "tRNA". Rfam says of the family: Transfer RNA (tRNA) molecules are approximately 80 nucleotides in length. Lineage: Bacteria; Pseudomonadati; Planctomycetota. The record is from RNAcentral.